AACGAACGCUGGCGGCAGGCCUAACACAUGCAAGUCGAGCGAGGACUUCGGUUCUAGCGGCGGACGGGUGAGUAACGCGUGGGAAUGUGCCCUUCUCUACGGGAUAGCCCUGGGAAACUGGGAGUAAUACCGUAUACGCCCUAUUGGGGAAAGAUUUAUCGGAGAAGGAUCAGCCCGCGUUGGAUUAGGUAGUUGGUGGGGUAAUGGCCUACCAAGCCGACGAUCCAUAGCUGGUUUGAGAGGAUGAUCAGCCACACUGGGACUGAGACACGGCCCAGACUCCUACGGGAGGCAGCAGUGGGGAAUCUUAGACAAUGGGGGCAACCCUGAUCUAGCCAUGCCGCGUGAGUGAUGAAGGCCUUAGGGUUGUAAAGCUCUUUCAGCUGGGAAGAUAAUGACGGUACCAGCAGAAGAAGCCCCGGCUAACUCCGUG
RNAcentral lists this ribosomal RNA (433 nucleotides) under uncultured bacterium. RNAcentral's name for it is "partial 16S ribosomal RNA". It matches the Rfam family "Bacterial small subunit ribosomal RNA", at positions 29 to 507 of the family's 1533-position model. The record is from RNAcentral.